Brassica oleracea var. oleracea is the source of this 647-nucleotide long non-coding RNA. RefSeq lists it as uncharacterized. The transcript has 4 exons. The record is from RefSeq and is a predicted model, not a curated record. NCBI's taxonomy places the organism in Eukaryota, Viridiplantae, Streptophyta, Magnoliopsida, Brassicales, Brassicaceae.
UCCUCUUAAUCAAAAGUAGGUUUGUAUUGUAUCAGUUUUUUGAUAUGCUUUGAUUUGCUUCCGUAGGUGAACUGUGUCUCUAUCAUGGAUCAUCUAACUACAUGGAGAAAGAGGUUCAGUUUACAGGAAUAUUAAGUGAUAAAGCUCAAGAAAAUCCAGACUUUUUCAAUUGGAAUAGAGUUAAGCUUUGUUACUGUGAUGGUGCUUCUUUCAGUGGAGAUGGUCAGAAUGAGGCUGCACAGCUUCAGUUUAGAGGAGAGCGUAUCUAGAGAGCAGCCAUAGAUGAUUUAAAGGCCAAUGGAAUGAGAUACGCCGACCAGGCACUUCUCUCUGGAUGCUCAGGUGGUGGUUUAGCAGCUAUCCUACGUUACGAUGAGUUCAGGAACUUGUUCCCUGGUUCCACCAAAGUCAAGUGCUUAAGUGACGCAGGCUUGUUCUUGGACAAGUUUUAUUUCUCAUCUAAACAUAAAGUCAAACACUUGGGAGCUUUCAAGUUUGAUUUUCAGAGUAUAGUAGAGUUUCAGAGUGUGAAAAACAACCUGCCUCGUCUGUGCACAAACCAUCUUCUCUCUCGGCAGACAAAUAAACCUUUUUUUAUAUAAACGUCUGAAACCAGAACCAUCGAAAUUCAAACACUUGGGAGCUUU